GAUGAACGCUGGCGGCGUGCUUAACACAUGCAAGUCGAACGGAAAGGCCCAAGCUUGCUUGGGUGCUCGAGUGGCGAACGGGUGAGUAACACGUGGGUGAUCUGCCCUGCACUUUGGGAUAAGCCUGGGAAACUGGGUCUAAUACCGGAUAGGACCAUCGUUUAGUGUCGGUGGUGGAAAGUUUUUCGGUGUGGGAUGAGCUCGCGGCCUAUCAGCUUGUUGGUGGGGUAAUGGCCUACCAAGGCGUCGACGGGUAGCCGGCCUGAGAGGGUGUACGGCCACAUUGGGACUGAGAUACGGCCCAGACUGCUACGGGAGGCAGCAGUGGGGAAUAUUGCACAAUGGGCGCAAGCCUGAUGCAGCGACGCCGCGUGGGGGAUGACGGCCUUCGGGUUGUAAACUCCUUUCGCCAAGGACGAAGCGUUUUGUGACGGUACUUGGAGAAGAAGCACCGGCUAACUACGUG
This 466-nucleotide ribosomal RNA is filed under the name uncultured bacterium. RNAcentral describes it as "partial 16S ribosomal RNA". It matches the Rfam family "Bacterial small subunit ribosomal RNA", at positions 28 to 507 of the family's 1533-position model. The record is from RNAcentral.